UACGUAAGGUGCAAGCGUUAAUCGGAAUUACUGGGCGUAAAGCGUGCGCAGGCGGUUUUGUAAGCCAGAUGUGAAAUCCCCGGGCUUAACCUGGGAAUGGCAUUUGGGACUGCAAGGCUGGAGUUUGGCAGAGGAGACUGGAAUUCCUGGUGUAGCAGUGAAAUGCGUAGAUAUCAGGAGGAAUACCGAUGGCGAAGGCAGGUCUCUGGGCUGAAACUGACGCUCAUGCACGAAAGCGUGGGGAGCAAACAGG
Molecule: ribosomal RNA, 253 nt
Filed under: uncultured bacterium
Lineage: Bacteria
Description: partial 16S ribosomal RNA
Rfam family: Bacterial small subunit ribosomal RNA
Source: RNAcentral